Molecule: ribosomal RNA, 477 nt
Filed under: Pseudomonas aeruginosa
Lineage: Bacteria; Pseudomonadati; Pseudomonadota; Gammaproteobacteria; Pseudomonadales; Pseudomonadaceae
Description: bacterial SSU rRNA
Rfam family: Bacterial small subunit ribosomal RNA
Source: RNAcentral
AUUGAACGCUGGCGGCAGGCCUAACACAUGCAAGUCGAGCGGAUGAAGGGAGCUUGCUCCUGGAUUCAGCGGCGGACGGGUGAGUAAUGCCUAGGAAUCUGCCUGGUAGUGGGGGAUAACGUCCGGAAACGGGCGCUAAUACCGCAUACGUCCUGAGGGAGAAAGUGGGGGAUCUUCGGACCUCACGCUAUCAGAUGAGCCUAGGUCGGAUUAGCUAGUUGGUGGGGUAAAGGCCUACCAAGGCGACGAUCCGUAACUGGUCUGAGAGGAUGAUCAGUCACACUGGAACUGAGACACGGUCCAGACUCCUACGGGAGGCAGCAGUGGGGAAUAUUGGACAAUGGGCGAAAGCCUGAUCCAGCCAUGCCGCGUGUGUGAAGAAGGUCUUCGGAUUGUAAAGCACUUUAAGUUGGGAGGAAGGGCAGUAAGUUAAUACCCUGCUGUUUUGACGUUACCAACGAUAAGCACCGCUAAUUC